Molecule: long non-coding RNA, 1106 nt
Filed under: Olea europaea (common olive)
Lineage: Eukaryota; Viridiplantae; Streptophyta; Magnoliopsida; Lamiales; Oleaceae
Description: long non-coding RNA (OEUR_LNC008655)
Source: RNAcentral
CGCCACCCAGUAUAGUAAAUAAUUACUAAAUCAACUUCUUCUUCUACAAUCACUGAAAGCCCUAAACAGAUAUCAAAUACGAAUAAAAACCAAACCAACACAACACCCAAAGUUCCGACGAAGAUAUACCUUUCAAAUUUUGAAAACCCAUUUUCCAUAUGACAUUGUUUGUUAAAAAUUACAAACAAUAUCCAUAUAUCUAAAUUUCAUCUCACAAUCAGUAUAUAUCUCGUUAGAAUAAUUUGUAUCCGCUAUUGUGAAAUUAUACGUUGCAUUGUUUGCUUCACAAUGAAAACUACCGCUACUUCGCCGGCAUGGCUCGGAUAGCUACAAAUUCCAGCGCCAUCGGCUUCCCAGAGUCGGCCCCUAUUAUCUCCAUCCACCAUCAAUCUCCUCUUUUCUUGAAUUUCUCUCUCUCCGAUCGCAGAAUAAGACUUGCAGGCCUCACAGAAUUUCCUGCCAAAGCAACCCCAAGUCAAUUGACUCCAGAACAACAGAGGUAUGCGAGUUAAUUCCCUCCACUUGAUUAUCACUUUCUUCAAUUAAAUAUUGUAAUUUUUUGUCAAAAGUGUAAUUAAGUUUUUUUCUUUUGUAUCAAUUUGAGUGUUCAACCCGUUACCAUGGUGAGUGGUGGUUGUUUUUGAUAUAUUGGGUUGGUUGUUUCUAUGCCCAAUAUGUGCGGUGAGUGGUGGUGGCUGUGGAAGGCGACGGCGGCAGCAAAUGGUGUGAUCGUGGUCAGUGAUCGAUAAUGGCUGUCGUCAGUAGCGGACGCAAAUAUUUGGUGUUAAUGGGGCACGAUCAAACUCAUUAAAAAAUUAUUUAUACUACAUGAACACAUACAAUUGAUCAUUGUCAUAAAUUCACAAAUCUCAUAUAUAUGUAAAAUAACAAUUCUCAAAGAAUUCCAAAUAAUCUCACAUAUAUGAUAAAUAAUAAUUUUCAAAUUAAAUAUUGCAAAUAACAAAAUAAUCUCAACUCUUACUCUCUCAAUUGUUCGGUUAUCUCUGUAAAUAUAUUCUAAUAAAAAAGCCCCACUAUCGUUACUGUCCAAAUCUGAUUUUUGGCUCUAAAACCCUCCAAACAAAAUAAUAAAUAAAACCCUGAAA